UAGGGAAUCUUCGGCAAUGGACGAAAGUCUGACCGAGCAACGCCGCGUGAGUGAAGAAGGUUUUCGGAUCGUAAAACUCUGUUGUUAGAGAAGAACAAGGACGUUAGUAACUGAACGUCCCCUGACGGUAUCUAACCAGAAAGCCACGGCUAACUACGUGCCAGCAGCCGCGGUAAUACGUAGGUGGCAAGCGUUGUCCGGAUUUAUUGGGCGUAAAGCGAGCGCAGGCGGUUUCUUAAGUCUGAUGUGAAAGCCCCCGGCUCAACCGGGGAGGGUCAUUGGAAACUGGGACACUUUAGUGCAGAAGAGGAGAGUGGAAUUCCAUGUGUAGCGGUGAAAUGCGUAGAUAUAUGGAGGAACACCAGUGGCGAAAGCGGCUCUCUCGUCUGUAACUGACGCUGAGGCUCGAAAGCGUGGCGAGCAAACAGG
This 429-nucleotide ribosomal RNA is filed under the name Gemmatimonadota bacterium. RNAcentral describes it as "Gemmatimonadetes bacterium partial 16S ribosomal RNA". It matches the Rfam family "Bacterial small subunit ribosomal RNA", at positions 355 to 776 of the family's 1533-position model. The record is from RNAcentral. Lineage: Bacteria; Pseudomonadati; Gemmatimonadota.